RNAcentral lists this long non-coding RNA (120 nucleotides) under Dasypus novemcinctus (nine-banded armadillo). Its description in RNAcentral is "lncRNA (ENSDNOG00000052279.1)". Lineage: Eukaryota; Metazoa; Chordata; Mammalia; Cingulata; Dasypodidae. The record is from RNAcentral.
AGGAAAUUGCAAAUGGCGGGAGACGCCAGGAGGAAACCAAGCAGAUGAGAUCUACUUAGGGUGUACAAGCUUCUCAAAAUGACCGAGUGCUUACAAUGGGUAAAUGCCAGACUACACUGU